AAAUAUAUACAAUGUAAGGGUUUUUUUUGGUACUGGGAAUUGAACCUGGGGGGAGUUAACCACUGAGCCACAUACUUCGUCCUUUUAAUUUUUAUUUUGAGAGAGGGUCUGGCUAAGUGUCCCAUGUUUCCAUCUUCCUGGCCCAAGCUAAGUAGGUGGGAUUGCCACUGUGCCUGGCUUAAAUGCAGUAUCAAAUUUCCCUUUUUCAUUUCUCUUUUCUGUCAGUAGCACAUUGCCCAGUUGAUGACUCCCUCUUCUCUUUUCUCUUCUUAGUUGUUAGGACAUCUACCUAUCUUAAAACUCUCCUUGCAUUCAUUAUGAUUCCUCCCUGAUCACUUUGGCCAUUCCUCUGCUGCGAGGCUCCACCGCCUGUUCUCUGAUGGCAGUGCUCCCCCACAGUUGAGGCUUGUACCUCUGCUCAGCCUGUCCGUGCCCACUGUCUCUCCUCAUCUUUUUGAUCACAGCUUUGAUACCAUUCUCCUCUACAGUACUCCUGGAGACUUCUCCUAUGAACAUUAGAGUUCUGUGGCCAGUUGUGUCCUCAAGUCCAUGCUGGGAUGUUAGUGGGCCUUUCUACCUUCAUGGUCCAUCCUGUGACUUCUUUAGCUCCCCAGGUGUCUCUCCCCUGUAGUCCUCAGCAUUUCAGGUAGGGUGAUCCUGUACUUGGAGGUGUUGGCUAGAUACUUUGACAUAUAUCGAAAUAGCACAAUGUAUUAUCAUAUUGGUAAGUUUUAUAUCUUAAGAGGAGAAAGACAAAGAUCACAUGUAUUUUUUCAGACAGGCAAGGAAACUAGGGUGUACACUGUUCUUGAGGCUUGGGAAAGAUGUGGGAAGACCUGGGUCCUGGUUGUUCUGCUGCCUCAGGGCCUCUGCUGCUCAGCCACCCAGGCCUCUUUCCUUUUCCUGGUAGCAGGUUGCUUAAGCCUCAGGGUCUUCACUGGGUCCUGUCUCCUUGUCUAGGCCUCCUUGACACUGGGCUGCAGGUGGUCAACACCUCAGGUCUUUGUUCUGAUGUUACCUACUGCAUGGAGACUACUGUGACCGCCCCCCCCCCAGCUCCUGUAACACUCCAGCCACACCCUGCCCCACCUCUGGUCCAUGCAGCCUACUUUGCAUAUUUCUUUCUGUUCCUUCACCAUCUGCUGUCUGGAUCCUGGUAAGAACAAGGUUCCAAGAGAGGCGCAGAGCUAGAAGGUGGGUAGUGGGCUGGGCUUGCCCCUAAUGGGGGUACUUAAUCUUGGGUUCCAUGAGAGUCCCGAGUCAUUUUGCAAUAAUUCUACUAACUGGAUGUGCCAUUCGGGGGUGAGGAUGUUACCAGUUUUAAUAAUACUGAAAAAGAGUUGAUUCUCUUAUCUGUGCAGCAUUGAGUAACAGGCUCUGUGUCCUCCAUCCUGGGGACUGAGAUCAGCCUGAGAUCCCAGGAGAGGUGAGUGGGCACUGUGCUGUCGUUCAGUGUGGUCAGGGCCAGGCUAUGCCCUGAAGGGAGCCCAGUGCUUCCCAGCUCCCCACUGCUGCAGCCUGUGUGUGCUUCACCAGCAGGGAAACCAGGCCCAAAGAGAGGAGUCACAGAAGUCUCCUGUGCGCCUUCCUGCAGGAGUUUACUAAUGUGCCUGGGUCACUCUAAAGGGGUGGGCAGAAGGGGACCAUCUUGUCACAUGGUGAGGUCCUCCCUGUGUGUGUGGCUGUGGCAUAGGAAGGAUGUGAUGAUUCUGAGCCUUAAAGAGUAUGUUUCCUCCUUCCAGGAUUGACUUGUAGACUCGUGUUACCUGAG
RNAcentral lists this long non-coding RNA (1771 nucleotides) under Marmota monax (woodchuck). The record is from RNAcentral. Lineage: Eukaryota; Metazoa; Chordata; Mammalia; Rodentia; Sciuridae.